This 490-nucleotide ribosomal RNA is filed under the name uncultured bacterium. Its description in RNAcentral is "partial 16S ribosomal RNA". It matches the Rfam family "Bacterial small subunit ribosomal RNA", at positions 30 to 507 of the family's 1533-position model. The record is from RNAcentral.
AUUGAACGCUGGCGGCAUGCCUUACACAUGCAAGUCGAACGGCAGCAUGAUCUAGCUUGCUAGAUUGAUGGCGAGUGGCGAACGGGUGAGUAAUACAUCGGAACGUGCCCUGUAGUUGGGGAUAACUAGUCGAAAGAUUAGCUAAUACCGCAUACGACCUGAGGGUGAAAGUGGGGGACCGCAAGGCCUCAUGCUAUAGGAGCGGCCGAUGUCUGAUUAGCUAGUUGGUGAGGUAAAGGCUCACCAAGGCGACGAUCAGUAGCUGGUCUGAGAGGACGAUCAGCCACACUGGGACUGAGACACGGCCCAGACUCCUACGGGAGGCAGCAGUGGGGAAUUUUGGACAAUGGGCGAAAGCCUGAUCCAGCAAUGCCGCGUGUGUGAAGAAGGCCUUCGGGUUGUAAAGCACUUUUGUCCGGAAAGAAAUGGCUCUGGUUAAUACCUGGGGUCGAUGACGGUACCGGAAGAAUAAGGACCGGCUAACUACGUG